Molecule: ribosomal RNA, 529 nt
Filed under: Penicillium spinulosum
Lineage: Eukaryota; Fungi; Ascomycota; Eurotiomycetes; Eurotiales; Aspergillaceae
Description: eukaryotic LSU rRNA
Rfam family: 5.8S ribosomal RNA (bases 156-309)
Source: RNAcentral
GGGUCCACCUCCCACCCGUGUUUAUUGUACCUUGUUGCUUCGGUGCGCCCGCCUCACGGCCGCCGGGGGGCUUCUGCCCCCGGGUCCGCGCGCACCGGAGACACCAUUGAACUCUGUCUGAAGAUUGCAGUCUGAGCAUAAACUAAAUAAGUUAAAACUUUCAACAACGGAUCUCUUGGUUCCGGCAUCGAUGAAGAACGCAGCGAAAUGCGAUAACUAAUGUGAAUUGCAGAAUUCAGUGAAUCAUCGAGUCUUUGAACGCACAUUGCGCCCCCUGGUAUUCCGGGGGGCAUGCCUGUCCGAGCGUCAUUGCUGCCCUCAAGCACGGCUUGUGUGUUGGGCUCCGUCCCCCCGGGGACGGGCCCGAAAGGCAGCGGCGGCACCGAGUCCGGUCCUCGAGCGUAUGGGGCUUUGUCACCCGCUCUGUAGGCCCGGCCGGCGCCAGCCGACAACCCAUCAUCCUUUUCAGGUUGACCUCGGAUCAGGUAGGGAUACCCGCUGAACUUAAGCAUAUCAAUAGGCGGAGGAA